AUUGAACGCUGGCGGCAGGCCUAACACAUGCAAGUCGAACGGUAGCACAGAGAGCUUGCUCUCGGGUGACGAGUGGCGGACGGGUGAGUAACGUCUGGGAAACUGCCCGAUGGAGGGGGAUGACUACUGGAAACGGUAGCUAAUACCGCAUAACGUCGCAAGACCAAAGUGGGGGACCUUCGGGCCUCACACCAUCGGAUGUGCCCAGAUGGGAUUAGCUAGUAGGUGGGGUAAUGGCUCACCGAGGCGACGAUCCCUAGCUGGUCUGAGAGGAUGACCAGCCACACUGGAACUGAGACACGGUCCAGACUCCUACGGGAGGCAGCAGUGGGGAAUAUUGCACAAUGGGCGCAAGCCUGAUGCAGCCAUGCCGCGUGUAUGAAGAAGGCCUUCGGGUUGUAAAGUACUUUCAGCGGGGAGGAAGGCGGUGAAGUUAAUAACUUCACCGAUUGACGUUACCCGCAGAAGAAGCACCGGCUAACUCCGUGCCAGCCGCCGCCGUAA
Molecule: ribosomal RNA, 504 nt
Filed under: uncultured bacterium
Lineage: Bacteria
Description: partial 16S ribosomal RNA
Rfam family: Bacterial small subunit ribosomal RNA
Source: RNAcentral